RNAcentral lists this microRNA (23 nucleotides) under Bombyx mori (domestic silkworm). RNAcentral's name for it is "bmo-miR-2764". Lineage: Eukaryota; Metazoa; Arthropoda; Insecta; Lepidoptera; Bombycidae. The record is from miRBase by way of RNAcentral.
UUCGUAGAUAUUGUAGUUACUGG